RNAcentral lists this long non-coding RNA (587 nucleotides) under Physcomitrium patens. RNAcentral describes it as "long non-coding RNA (PPAT_LNC011732)". Lineage: Eukaryota; Viridiplantae; Streptophyta; Bryopsida; Funariales; Funariaceae. The record is from RNAcentral.
CCAUAGAAUAAUUAGUUUAGGAGGAUGGAUGAUUAAUUCAGUUAUUAAAAGCAAUUAUUAUAGGAUUACGAUUAGAAUCUAGAAAUCAGUAUCAAUUAUAUAGGAGUUGUAGAAGUUUGUCGGGGGGCUAGACUGUGAUAGUUAUGAGCCGGGGUUAAGCUUGGUGCUUUCUCUUUGUUUUUUUUUGUUUUUUUUGUUGUUAAAGAAUAAUGGAUAGUUUCUAAAUAUUGAGAAGUGAGUCUGUGGAAUAAAUCAAAGAUUGAUUUAUGAGUUAUUGAUUAUGUAAUUGGAGUACUGAGUGAUUCAAUUAUAUGAGAAGUUAUAAGAAGAUUGAUUAUGGAUGGAAGUUUAUAAUUAUUAUUUAUUGAGAGUUGUGUGUGUUUAUUUUGACAGAAGAAGUUUGUAAUUAUAGGAAUUCUGUGAAUUCAAAUUGAUUGAAGUGAAGUGUGUUAUUCAUGGUGUUGGAUGGAAUUUAUUGAGUUUUGAGCGGUCUUUUGAUAGUGCAGGGUGGCACAUUGUGGUUAUUAGUUGAUGAAGGAGUAUUGUUAUUGAGAGGAAGCAUUGUAGUAUUUUUUAGUAUUUUAGUG